Molecule: unclassified non-coding RNA, 511 nt
Filed under: Hevea brasiliensis (rubber tree)
Lineage: Eukaryota; Viridiplantae; Streptophyta; Magnoliopsida; Malpighiales; Euphorbiaceae
Source: RNAcentral
GCUCCCCUCACUCUCUCUUUCUCUUCCAUUUUCUGCUUAUUUCUUUCAAAACCCUCGUAAACUCUUCGAGCUCUUAAGGCAAAAUGGGUGAAGCAAAAGAAAACGACGCCUACGAGGAGGAGUUGCUCGACUACGAGGAAGAGGUCGAAAAUGCCCCAGACUCCGUCUCCGCUAAGGCCGCUGCUGAAUCUGCUAAGAAGGGCUACGUUGGAAUUCACAGUUCCGGAUUCCGAGACUUCCUGUUGAAGCCAGAGCUUCUACGAGCCAUUGUAGAUUCUGGAUUUGAACAUCCUUCAGAAGUGCAACAUGAAUGCAUCCCUCAAGCUAUACUAGGAAUGGAUGUCAUUUGCCAAGCAAAAUCUGGGAUGGGGAAGACUGCUGUUUUUGUUCUGUCCACUUUGCAGCAGAUUGAGCCUGUUGCUGGUCAAGUUGCUGCACUUGUUCUUUGCCACACAAGAGAAUUAGCAUACCAGAUAUGCCAUGAAUUUGAGAGGUUCAGUACCUAUUUGCC